GGAGCCCUCACCUCAGACACCGGCGGUAGGGCUGGAUGCGGGCCCGGCCCAGGACCGGUCUUCUGUCCUCACACCGGGGAGGACCACGCAGGAAGGAGCUGAGUCAGAGAGACCGUGUGUAAUUUGCUCAGCGUCACACAGAUAGUAAACGGCAGAGCCGCUCUUCCUCCCUGUCCCGCCAGCUCCUGCCUUCUGCUGUCUUGGAUCUCCUAUGCACGGGAAACCUGUUGAAGGUAGGACAGCCGAAAGAAUGGACUUAGAGGAAACCGAAGAAAUCCCAAGCCACACCAAACAGGACCUCAAGACUCUCCCAUUUUUCUAUCAUCAGGGGCAUGUUUGGUACCUCUGGCGAUUUGCGAAAUGACCUUCUGACCCCAGAACUCCGAGUCAAACCCUGUGCCACACCCUUCCCAGGGCCCAGUGGUACUGCAUCAUCUGUUGCAAUCAGCUGCCGAGGCUUCACCACUGGUAUUCCUAUGAAAAAGCAAGUG
Homo sapiens (human) is the source of this 491-nucleotide long non-coding RNA. Ensembl annotates it as SPAG5 antisense RNA 1. Its record names the gene SPAG5-AS1. Lineage: Eukaryota; Metazoa; Chordata; Mammalia; Primates; Hominidae. The record is from Ensembl.